Molecule: long non-coding RNA, 1948 nt
Organism: Xenopus tropicalis (tropical clawed frog)
Lineage: Eukaryota; Metazoa; Chordata; Amphibia; Anura; Pipidae
Exons: 5
Source: RefSeq, a predicted model, not a curated record
AGAAAGACUAGUCAAAAAACAGGCAGAGGCUGGUUCAGGCAGUUAUACAGGGAUGGCCAGGAACAGACAGAAGUCAAAACACAGACAAUCCGCACAAGGAACACACCCAGGAAUUGACAUACGCUGGGCAGUGAGUACACAGUCGUGGCACCUUUAAAUAUUUGAAUUUUGUGCCAAAAUGACAUCAGACACAGCGCCCUGUACAAAAAGGCAUGCAGCACAGUGAGGAGGAUGGCAGCUGUCCCCAGGGUUGCCCUACUAGACCACCAGGUAUUGUUACAAAUAAAACACAUGCACCACAGGGUAGAUGAUCUGGCAGAAUUCAAGAUACACCUUAAGGACUACCGGCAAGUGAUCCAGAUCCCCUUUCAGUAGAAAUGUUCAGGCCAGGAGCUGUGCCUGUAUAAGGAUUUGCUCUGCACCCCUCCCUGUGGUUCUGCUUUGAUCUGUAUCAUGCUACUGCAAUGUUCUGCUAAGUGGAUUGGCUCAAGGUCAAGGAAUGUUUGACCCAGAGGUCAACUGCUUAAACCCGGCAGUAAACAAAUUUAAAGGCACUGCAGAAUAUAUAACAGAGAGAAGCAGCAAUACUUUUGCUGACAAAGGGGAUGAGCAAGAAGAUUUUUCACACUAUUACCGAACAUGGAAGUGUACAAUGUUUAAAAACCUUGAGGACUUUGGAAAUUUCAGGACUUUUGGCAGUCAAAGGGUUACUGUAAAAUGCUCAUUCAGGGAAAGGCCAGUAAACCUGAACACUUUAUGAUUUAAGGAAAUCUAUAAACCACAGAAUGAUUUUCUCCAUAUGUACUAACAAGGACAAAGUUUAGCCAGGUUUACUUUUAAACAGGUGACCAGUAAAUCUUACCUGCUUAUUGCAUGUUAAAGGUAACUGCACAUUUUUCAAGCUCUGCACCUUUUAUUGCCUAACUCUAAGUUUGCUGUAUAAAAUUUUGAUUUCACCACAAAAUGAAUGAGUUUUGCCUAAUAAGUAAGUACAUUUAGAAAAUCCCCAUUUGGUAUACCCUGGCAUCCCAGCCCAUAGACCAGGCUGUCCUACAGAAGGCCUGUGGGCUGGAUGUGUCCCUCCAAAGUAUUUUUAUGACAUUUUGCCUGCUCAUGGGCUCCAUAGACAGCUGUGCAUGCCAUCAAUCAUUUGGCCAACAAACAAGUAUUUGCCAAUUAACUGGCCCACUACAUUGCACAACACUGCCAUAGAUCAUGUCUAAAUUACUCACUUACUCUAUGUACAGUAUAUGUAUAGCACUUUAAAUACAAAGGCCUAUAAUCAUCAUCUUACAUGGGCAGCAAGAAUACAGUUUCUUCCUAUGACUUGUGAUUUUUGCAUUCUUUUGGGGAAUAAAGGCUGGGAGGACAUGCAGAUCAUGGGCAAUUUAGCCAUACAAGUUUGUGGCAAAGAAUAACAGAUGCUUAAAGGUUACACUUUUGGCACUUGGGAUAAAUAUAUAAAUUGUUUAACAUACAGGCAAAUAGAAUGAUCAAGUCAAACAGGGACUCAACAAAAGUUCUCAGUUCUAUUAGAGGCAUUAAUUGCUGUCAACUGUCAAUUCAUGGAAUAAAACUGGCAAAGCAAAUGGCAUGCUUUCCUGGGCUGUACUGAAUACUGCUCCUCAGUGCCCUAGAAAUGUCAAGCCCCUAACAACUAUACGUUCCAUACCUUAUGGACAUGUGUUUGUUUGGACCAGGCACAAUAAAAAGGCACAUUAUGAGUGAAUUAUUGAUAUAAUUCAUACAGUUUACAAAGCCCAAAAGAAAAAAGGAUUGAGAGACAGUAAGACAAAAACUGUAGGAAAACAAGAAAAAGGCUCUGUCAUCAAAUGCAAAUGACAGAUGGUGAUUGGCAGAUUUUGAAAUGGCUGCUGUGAUCUUGGGAAAUAAUUGUAUUUGUCUUGGACAUUCUAUUGUUCCUUAACCAAAUCUGUACUUUGUACAA